UACGAAGGGGGCUAGCGUUGUUCGGAAUUACUGGGCGUAAAGCGCACGUAGGCGGAUAUAUAAGUCAGGGGUGAAAUCCCAGAGCUCAACUCUGGAACUGCCUUUGAUACUGGGUAUCUUGAGUAUGGAAGAGGUGAGUGGAAUUCCGAGUGUAGAGGUGAAAUUCGUAGAUAUUCGGAGGAACACCAGUGGCGAAGGCGGCUCACUGGUCCAUUACUGACGCUGAGGUGCGAAAGCGUGGGGAGCAAACAGG
This 253-nucleotide ribosomal RNA is filed under the name uncultured bacterium. RNAcentral's name for it is "partial 16S ribosomal RNA". It matches the Rfam family "Bacterial small subunit ribosomal RNA", at positions 524 to 776 of the family's 1533-position model. The record is from RNAcentral.